Non-coding RNA from Cajanus cajan (pigeon pea), 115 nucleotides. NCBI's taxonomy places the organism in Eukaryota, Viridiplantae, Streptophyta, Magnoliopsida, Fabales, Fabaceae. The record is from RefSeq and is a predicted model, not a curated record.
UUAUUUUUCUACAAAUUGGUAUCAGAGCUUUAUGCUCUGAGUGCCGAGUGUGAGAGGAAAACAGUGUGCGCCUGUGAAGGGGAAGAAAGAAGAAAGAGAGAGUAAUGGCAAAGGU